RNAcentral lists this ribosomal RNA (465 nucleotides) under uncultured bacterium. Its description in RNAcentral is "partial 16S ribosomal RNA". It matches the Rfam family "Bacterial small subunit ribosomal RNA", at positions 28 to 507 of the family's 1533-position model. The record is from RNAcentral.
GACGAACGCUGGCGGCGUGCUUAACACAUGCAAGUCGAACGGAAAGGCCCUGCUUGCAGGGUACUCGAGUGGCGAACGGGUGAGUAACACGUGGGUGAUCUGCCCUGCACUUCGGGAUAAGCCUGGGAAACUGGGUCUAAUACCGGAUAGGAGCCAUUUUUAGUGUGAUGGUUGGAAAGUUUUUUCGGUGUAGGAUGAGCUCGCGGCCUAUCAGCUUGUUGGUGGGGUAAUGGCCUACCAAGGCGGCGACGGGUAGCCGGCCUGAGAGGGUGGACGGCCACAUUGGGACUGAGAUACGGCCCAGACUCCUACGGGAGGCAGCAGUGGGGAAUAUUGCACAAUGGGCGCAAGCCUGAUGCAGCGACGCCGCGUGGGGGAUGACGGCCUCCGGGUUGUAAACUCCUUUCGCUAGGGACGAAGCUUUUUGUGACGGUACCUAGAUAAGAAGCACCGGCUAACUACGUG